CCGGCGCACGGGUGAGUAACACGUAUCCAACCUGCCGUCUACUCUUGGACAGCCUUCUGAAAGGAAGAUUAAUACAAGAUGGCAUCAUGAGUUCACAUGUUCACAUGAUUAAAGGUAUUCCGGUAGACGAUGGGGAUGCGUUCCGUUAGAUAGUAGGCGGGGUAACGGCCCACCUAGUCUUCGAUGGAUAGGGGUUCUGAGAGGAAGGUCCCCCACAUUGGAACUGAGACACGGUCCAA
RNAcentral lists this ribosomal RNA (239 nucleotides) under uncultured bacterium. RNAcentral describes it as "partial 16S ribosomal RNA". It matches the Rfam family "Bacterial small subunit ribosomal RNA", at positions 95 to 334 of the family's 1533-position model. The record is from RNAcentral.